This 492-nucleotide ribosomal RNA is filed under the name uncultured bacterium. Its description in RNAcentral is "partial 16S ribosomal RNA". It matches the Rfam family "Bacterial small subunit ribosomal RNA", at positions 29 to 507 of the family's 1533-position model. The record is from RNAcentral.
AGUGAACGCUGGCGGUAGGCCUAACACAUGCAAGUCGAACGGCAGCACAGUAUGAGCUUGCUCUUACGGGUGGCGAGUGGCGGACGGGUGAGGAAUACAUCGGAAUCUACUUUUUCGUGGGGGAUAACGUAGGGAAACUUACGCUAAUACCGCAUACGACCUACGGGUGAAAGCAGGGGAUCUUCGGACCUUGCGCGAUUGAAUGAGCCGAUGUCGGAUUAGCUAGUUGGCGGGGUAAAGGCCCACCAAGGCGACGAUCCGUAGCUGGUCUGAGAGGAUGAUCGGCCACACUGGAACUGAGACACGGUCCAGACUCCUACGGGAGGCAGCAGUGGGGAAUAUUGGACAAUGGGCGCAAGCCUGAUCCAGCCAUACCGCGUGGGUGAAGAAGGCCUUCGGGUUGUAAAGCCCUUUUGUUGGGAAAGAAAAGCAGCAGGUUAAUACCCCGCUGUUCUGACGGUACCCAAAGAAUAAGCACCGGCUAACUUCGUG